CCUACGGGAGGCAGCAGUGAGGAAUAUUGGACAAUGGACGAGAGUCUGAACCAGCCAAGCAGCGUGAAGGAUGACUGCCCUAUGGGUUGUAAACUUCUUUUAUAUGGGAAUAAAAUGUUCCACGUGUGGGAUUUUGUAUGUACCAUAUGAAUAAGGAUCGGCUAACUCCGUGCCAGCAGCCGCGGUAAUACGGAGGAUCCGAGCGUUAUCCGGAUUUAUUGGGUUUAAAGGGAGCGUAGGUGGCUUGUUAAGUCAGUUGUGAAAGUUUGCGGCUCAACCGUAAAAUUGCAGUUGAAACUGGCAGUCUUGAGUACAGUAGAGGUGGGCGGAAUUCGUGGUGUAGCGGUGAAAUGCUUAGAUAUCACGAAGAACUCCGAUUGCGAAGGCAGUUCACUGGACUGUAACUGACACUGAGGCUCGAAAGUGUGGGUAUCAAACAGGAUUAGAUACCCGAGUAGUC
RNAcentral lists this ribosomal RNA (460 nucleotides) under uncultured bacterium. Its description in RNAcentral is "partial 16S ribosomal RNA". It matches the Rfam family "Bacterial small subunit ribosomal RNA", at positions 338 to 795 of the family's 1533-position model. The record is from RNAcentral.